GACGUCGAUAUUCGACGUCAUAAACACGAGCAACUUUGGUGUUUAUGACGUCGAUAUUCGACGUCAUAAACACGAGCAACUUUGGUGUUUAUGACGUCGAUAUUCGACGUG
RNAcentral lists this microRNA precursor (111 nucleotides) under Paramuricea clavata. Lineage: Eukaryota; Metazoa; Cnidaria; Anthozoa; Malacalcyonacea; Plexauridae. The record is from RNAcentral.